GUGGGGAAUCUUGCGCAAUGGGCGAAAGCCUGACGCAGCCAUGCCGCGUGAAUGAUGAAGGUCUUAGGAUUGUAAAAUUCUUUCACCGGGGACGAUAAUGACGGUACCCGGAGAAGAAGCCCCGGCUAACUUCGUGCCAGCAGCCGCGGUAAUACGAAGGGGGCUAGCGUUGCUCGGAAUUACUGGGCGUAAAGGGCGCGUAGGCGGAUCGUUAAGUCAGGGGUGAAAUCCCAGAGCUCAACUCUGGAACUGCACUCGAUACUAUUAAGCUUGAAUUCGGUAGAGGUUGGUGGAAUUCCCAGUGUAGAGGUGAAAUUCGUAGAUAUUGGGAAGAAUAUCCGUGGCGAAGGCGGCCAACUGGACCGACAUUGACGCUGAGGCGCGAAAGCGUGGGGAGCAAACAGGAUUAGAAACCCGUGUAGUCC
Molecule: ribosomal RNA, 425 nt
Filed under: uncultured bacterium
Lineage: Bacteria
Description: partial 16S ribosomal RNA
Rfam family: Bacterial small subunit ribosomal RNA
Source: RNAcentral